Molecule: ribosomal RNA, 447 nt
Filed under: uncultured bacterium
Lineage: Bacteria
Description: bacterial SSU rRNA
Rfam family: Bacterial small subunit ribosomal RNA
Source: RNAcentral
UCGAGAAUCUUCGGCAAUGGGCGCAAGCCUGACCGAGCGAUGCCGCGUGCGGGAUGAAGGCCUUCGGGUUGUAAACCGCUGUCAGAGGGGAUGAAAUACGGUGGGGGUUCUCCCCCAUGUUUGACAUAUCCUCAGAGGAAGUGUGGGCUAAGUUCGUGCCAGCAGCCGCGGUAAGACGAACCACACGAACGUUAUUCGGAAUUACUGGGCUUAAAGGGUGCGUAGGCGGCCUGACAAGUUGGGUGUGAAAUACCUCGGCUCAACCGAGGAAUGGCGCUCAAAACUGUCAGGCUUGAGGAAGAUAGAGGUGAGCGGAACUUAAGGUGGAGCGGUGAAAUGCGUUGAUAUCUUAAGGAACACCCGUGGCGAAAGCGGCUCACUGGAUCUUUUCUGACGCUGAGGCACGAAAGCUAGGGGAGCGAACGGGAUUAGAUACCCCCGUAGUCC